CAUAAUUAACUCGAGCUGAAGUUGCGAGGUCAACGACGAUCCUACGGACGAGGACUCGGAUUUGAAGGGCGAUGCGACAAAAUUAUUGGAACGGUGGAGUCUUGGAUGUGGUUGUUGUCGAGAUGAUUGACGACUGGUUCGAGCUUUUUGUCGCGCACUCGGUGAAUAUUACUCGGUUGGCUUCGUCUUCACCCGAUUCUUGGAAUUUCUUGCUGACGCGCAGAACGACGACGACUUUCGAUUGAAGUCUGGAGCGAGCUGGUAAGGUAGGGUUGAGCAGGGGAUGACAUGUUUGACGACUCGACGGCAAACGACGCGACGACGAGCGACGGCGAACGACGAGGUCGACCACGCGGUUGGGAAUUAAAGUCGAGCGAGCCGAGAGGGCGCGCUACGAGCAGGAAAAAGACUCGACGCGGGAGUUUGACGCGCACGGAAACUAUCACCAGCGACAACACGACGAUGGCGAUAUGAGCGAACGCGAAUCGGCGUGGGCCAAACACCGGACAACUGUGGCAGCGAGGAACUCGGCCACGGAACAGUGGAGCGCGCGCAGGAAAGAGGGAGGCUGAAGAGCGAGCUGGAAGCCACGGCGCUGGGCAGAGCCCGGACGGACGAGCGCGCAGGGACGAACAGGCGAGGCGACAGCGCGAGCAGGGAGGAGCUCGAGCGUGCCAUAGCCGAAGAAAGAGUUCUAGCCAGGGAGAAGAAAGUCUGCGCGGUCAGCCGAACUGGAACCGGCGUGCGCAGAGAGCACCGAGCGCCAGGGAAUUUGCAGAGGAGACCGACGCAAAGAGCCGGCCAUGGAGGGAGAUCCGAGCGAGUAGAAAUCCGGGCGCCGAGCAGAGGAAGAACGAUCUGCGUAGGGGAGGAAGAAGCUGCACAGCAUGGAGACUCAGGGGGCUGGGGCGAGUUCGUCAAGGAGCAGAGGGGCUGGGGCACCAUGGGGAAGAACCUCGGCGCGCAGAGCUCCACGGCGAGCCAGGCGAGCAGAAGGAACCAGCAGCGGGCGAGACCUGGGACAGGGAGGAGGAAGCGGCUGGGAUGGGCGCGUAGAGCAGCAGGGCAAGGCCGCGGUCAGGCGAGAUCCGAACAGAGAAGCUCCGGCCAGGGGCGAGCGAUCGGCCGGCGAUGGAGCAGGCGGCCAUGGGAAGGGCAGAGGAAGCGCCGACAGAGGAGGGGGACGCUAGCAGCAAAAAAUCAGAGGAGGGAGAGGAUAGGGAUGGCACGCCGUCAUGAACAAAAAUCAGGAAGCAGAUGAUUUGCUGCUGCGCGGGAAAGAGCCAUUUGGCUGGGAAGAAGAAGGAGCUGGACGACUUCAGCAGAUUUUCCUCUGCAGCGGCUGGAGAUAACCACGGCUGGAAUUUAUCCAUUGCUAGAAAGCGGCGCAGGGAUUUGUUCACGAGCUUGAGCGGCAUCAAAAAAAAUCCCACCCGAGGAUAAGGAAGAAGAGGAUUUGAGCGGUAAGAAUUUUCUCUUCUUUUUUUUAAUUUCUUUUCUUCUCUUUUUCUCAAAAAAUAUUAAUACUAGAAUUAGAGUUUUGGUGAGACAUUAUCAGAAUACAAUACUUGAGAUACUACUAAUUGGGUUGAACUCGGAUAAAAAAAACUUAUCUGUUCCGAUUUUCUUAGCGAUGUUUACGAUGUAGACAGUAAUUGUGACACGGUUUUGAUUUGACGAAUACUCGGGAGUCGGAUGAAUUCGUACCGUUAAUUCACCUUUUUAAAUCAAGGCGAAAAGCAACGGACCGAAUUAAACAUAUUCCGGCUUUGUUAAUUUUGCUCUGCGUGAUUUAAUUCAGUUGACUUCAGAUGAUUUCCGUUUGCUACUCGAAUACUCGACUAAACAAUUCAAUUGAAAUCCGUAGACGCAAUGUCACGGAUAACAAAAAGGGGAUUAAAUUAUUUUACCCCGAAAACUUAGUCGUCGAGUUUGACUAAUUUGCCCGGGAUAAAAAUCACCCAGUGGGUCGAGCUUCCGAAUUCAUGUCCGUGCGAGCGAUGAAUUUUUAAAUCAUUAUCGGACGCACCGAUUUUCGGAACAACGAUGUUCUGAACAUCACGAAAAUCUAAGAAGAGCCCGGGUAGAUAAAAAUAAAAACGACGUCGCACUUGCGACAGACGGAACAGAUGCGAUAUUAAAAUCGCGAUAGACGAAGAUGAUUAGAAUUUAGCAUCUGUUUUAUGCACUGAUAUUACGUGCUUAAUCCCAUACUCGUUGUCGAGCGGAAUAUAAACACCUGGAGUGUUACAGCCCUCCCCCUUAAAAGAAUCUCGUCCCGAGAUUCAGAACGAAAGACUUCUAAGGGUAGAGAAGCAUAUACCCAUGUCCAUAUCAGCGGUAAUCGUGAGACAUUUCCAAACAAGGGCGAGUGUCUCAGGAUGUUGCUUCUCUAGUGGACAUAACAUGUAUCGCCUUAGGCUAAUUUAGAUUGUCCACCAAUAGAGACCAUGUCUGCCAGAGGAACACAUAGGGUUCCAUGUGCGCAGUUUGUUUUUCUGAUGACACUAUACUUUCUGAGUCUGUUGAGCAAGCGACAGAUAUGCGAUUUUACCCAAACAGAACUAGAUGCACCAUCUUGGGUAAAACACAUAGAAAGAGGUUUACCAACAAGUGGUUACAGUAAAUCCAUAGCACAGGAGACGGGUGUGGAUGUCGAAUACUGUGGCGGUUAACCUGUGGCUAACCCGAGAAUUCAAGUCCACAAAGGAUGGUAUAGAUUCGAGAAAAUCACCCGCGGAGGGAUCUGUAGAUGCGGACUUUGCAACCAGUCUGUUUUAUCCAGCACUAUUCAUGGCUUGACUUAAUCACACAUGCUAGAAAAGCACAUGUGAGGCAAUCAAGGCAUGACUAGAGCGAUGAUUAGGUGGUGAUCAGUCGAUUUUAACUUGAUCUUUGUAAGAACUUUCUCAGGACGGGUUGAACCAAAGUGAGUUUAGACAACUCGAUAAAAUGAUCUCUAAACUCAACCUUUGUUCAUUGGGCAGUUACAAGUUAGUAAAACCAACUUGUUGAACUACUUUUAACAUUGAGCAGGUCCUCUCAGUACCAUUGGUAAACCAAGGGUUGAGAGUUCACAUUUGCUAGCAAAAGGUCAUGCAUUUGGGGGUAGAAAUCCAUUUGGUCAUGUUGUUCAUCCGUUUCUUCCGUAAGAGAUGAAUUAUCUACUUGGAUAAGGAAUACAUGGAUUAAUUAAGAGAGCGAAUGAACAAACUCCUGCAUCUCAACAGCAGGGAAAUUUAAUCUCCAAUUUGAGAGCUAAUUAGUUAUCGCUCAACACUAAAAAGCUCCAAGGCUUCACCUUUACACAAAGGAUGUAAAGGGAACUUGUAUGAGUAGUCACCACCAAGAUCAAAAGAAAAGAGACCACAUAUGAAAGUGGGAUGCCCUUUUGAUCCAAUAGAGAUGAUAAAUGUUGCUUGAUCACUCGACAAACAACAUAGAAAUUGUUUCAAGGGAAAGUCCACGGAAGAUAACACAUUAGAGUAGUUCCAUAAUGGAUCAUGACUAGAGACCUCGAUACCAGCAUGCGCCAAGCAGCAUAACCUUGUGUGUACAUUCACAAGGGGCUCUCAGUUUCGCAGCGGCACCAUAAGUCAUUAAUCAUGACACCAUCACCGAACUGGCACCAAUAAUGAAUCUCACGUGGUAAGAACAAUUUGUGCAAAGAUAACAUAUCGAUACAGUCUCAUAAUGGAUUAUGACUACUAACUGUGAUACCAGCGCGUGCCAAGUAGCGCAACCAUGUGUAUGCAUCCACAGGAGGCCCUCGAUUUUGUCGCGGCACCAUCAGUUUUAGUCACAACACCAUUAUUAGACAUAACCAAUAAGAAAUCUCACGCGACACAAAUGAAUUGGGCAAGGGUGAAUAUAUACAAGGAGAUACUCCACCUGUAAGAAUGGUUACAAGUAGAGAGCCAAAUAGAUUAUAGCCCAAGGAAAUGAACAAGACAUGUCCAUAACCUAAACUUGAUAAAAGGAGUAUGAUGGGAGACUGUUACUUCAGCCCCAAGCAUAUUUCUAUGCCCAUCAUAGAGAUCACAAGGUCAAGGAUCAUUAUCUGAUUAUAUACGGAGGGAAAACAAUCAUAGGAUUAAGUUGGUAUGCCUUCGAUAGAUAUGAAUAACCAAAGGCAUCAAACUUUAAGAAAAUGGUCGGACAAGCUUUUCCUAGGUUACGUUAAUAAGGCGACAAGUGAUCCACAAGGAGAGGCCGAAUACAAUAGGGACCUCAACUUGCAUCAACUGAACAAGGGAAUGGUUCUAGAAAGAGGCAUGACUUGAGACUCUUGUUUUAAGCUUAGGUGCAUUUUAUGUCCAAUACGGAAAUUGUCUACGCAUUUAUUUGUAUGGGCUUUGUCAUGGAGUAAUAAUGGACAAUUCAAAUUUAGGCAUGGUUCACUAAAUAAGAAUAUGGUCUAGUUUAGGGUUUAGGCAAUCAAACUACUAACCUCCUAUCAGCACAUCAAUACAAGAGCACACAUAUAAUUCCUAAAUAGAUUACCUAAGCACGGAGGAUAGCUAUUUCAUUGAAGUUCAUAAUUCAACAUUACACCACAUUAUCCACAAUCAAUGUUUACUGGAAUAAAGAUGAGAGAAGCAUUUUGGAUGUAUAGGUGACAAACACGAUGCAACAAUCAGGAUGCAUGCUCGUCCUAUACGUCCUCACUGAUUUUGCCAACAUAAUGUGGCAAUAGCGUUCUAUAUCGGUGGCAUACGUAUAGCUCUCAUGGUAUUUUGCUAGUCGUCAACUACACAUACGUUUUCGAGGUUAGUGUACCUGCAGAAAAUUUGAUUACAUCCCAAUUUCCCAAUGAUGCAGUUCACACAUGACAGUUUAUCACAGUUUAUACUCCAUAUAUUGCUAUAUGGAGGCCAGCUCAUCAUUAAGCGCCGAGCCACGCAUAGGCGCCGUUGCCACACUUUAACCAUAGGGCAACUCAUUAUGGUAACUCACCUUCUUACCUGAGCGUAGGUGUGUCGUUACAAGUACAUUACACUUCUCAGUAUUCCCAUGCCUGUAUACCCAUACACAUCCAUGGGGUACUGAAUUCCCGGAAAAGUAAUUACUCCACAUCGCAGCCUUCAUAUAUACAUAUGUGUAACAUGUAUAUAAUCAAGCGCUACAAUUAAGCACUCCCCUAGACCGACGGUUGUUCAGUCAUGCUCUCACAUCUCACCUUACCUUGAGCGACAAUCCAUUCAAAACUGAAUGGCCUCAAAAUAACAUUACACAUGUAUGCAAUACCCACCCGGUUAUGGGUUAUGGUUUUCAACUAAGCCACCUGAUAGUCCUUAGUAUAGGGCUUAACAGAGGAUGUCGCUAGCAUUAUAGUUUUUGAAAACUAUUUUUCAAAGCCAAACAAUGUUUUUAGUUGAAAAUAGGUUUUUCAAAACCAAAACUUUUGUUUUGAAAAUAUGUAUGUGACCGUAUAUACUUAAUCCAGCUCCGAUACCAGCUGUGGCAGAACCUCCAAGUUAUUGGGCCCACAUGCACCUGUCCUUGUCCCAAAGACCUUAGACGACUAUGCAUGUGCACCAGAUAACUUAACAGGAUCUGUCCGAUUGCCCCAAGGACAUCGGAUAAACCACUUUCAACCAGAACCGCGGGAUUAAGUAACACAAAUCACACACACAACAUUUUUGCAGCGGAAAUCUUAUUACCAAAUUUUACAGGUUACAAAAAUUUAUAUUAUUUUAUCGGAGUGGUUACAAAAGUAUAAGUUUUAAAUAUAUGCUAGCUCAAAUGACCAUCCUCAAUAAGAAGUAUAGAAGGGUUACUUAGACUUAUAAGAAGGCCGAGCCCACCGGCACUUAACACCAUCACAACAGCACAAGGUUAGAACCUGAAAAACAACAGGGAAUAAAACCCUGAGUAUGGAAUUACUCAGCAAGUCUUACCCGACUAAGAAAAAGACUCUCAAGGGUAUGCUGGAUAAAUAGGAAUCAAGGAGAGGCUUUAGCAAGAAUCAACUUAGAUACUUUUGCAGAAAUAGCUUACUAAAGUGAGUCCUUACUUUCAAUAUUUUAACGCCAGAUUGAAUAUUAAUAGACACUGUUUGCAUCUAGUCUAAUUUCAUCAUCUCAUCAAUACAACAUCCUUUUUAUUCAUAAUGUUCACAUCCUGACUUACGUUGUAGAAAAGUGACCAAGUCUUCAUAACCGCGAAGGUACGGCGAUCCGAAUCGAUUAUACUCAGCUGAGGAUCUCCAAUCACACGACAUAUGUAGCACUUAACCCUUGCAUAUGUCAACCCGCCACCGGGGUUCUUAAGAUCAGAUCAGGUUCACGCAAACCGAGAGCACAGAUACACCACCGUCCAGCCUCUUGCCACGGAGGGUACACGCUACUCUCGCCACCGCUCCACGCCCAUUUCGUGUUAUCUUAUUCUGUCCUUAGUCUGCCCGAGGCAAGGCUUACCCAUGACGAGGCAUGUGACCAGUUAAAGGGUCCUCGGUCAGCACGCCUACAUACGCGUUAAUCCUUAACCAACCUGGGUAGAACAUCACAUGUUCCUAACCCAAGUCUCAAUUUAAGUAUUUCCAUCCUUAGGAUUGUGUCUGUUUCUUAGGAUGAAAGAGCAUCACAGGGAACUUUGCAGUAAGAUCCCACCAUUGCUCCAAAAGAAAAUAUUCUUGCAGGUAGAAGCCAUCCUUUCUCGAGCUAGGCUAAGGAUAACCUCUAUCCACAAGAUCUAAGCAAGGCUAAGCAUUUUUGUAAAUCAUAAUUUUGAUACUUCACAGAAGUAUCUAUAAAGGUAUGGAUAUCAAGGAAAGCAAUGCAUCAAAGGGUUUCAAGCAACUCCUAUGAACUUAAUGCACAUUUCACUAGACUUAAAGUGUGCGAAAAGUAUUUAAAAACACAAGGAAAGGGGUUGCAUGCACCGGGGCUUGCCUGAGUAACACUAGGUUAGUGUUGUUAGUUGACGUCCGCUUGACGAGUAUUCUUCGACCGAGCACUUGCUUGAUUUAACCAUCUUCAGUUUGAUUCAUCAGCUUCAGCUUGCAGAUUAGCCCGCGCUUGGGGUCGACUUGGUUUUUCUUCCGCAUCACACGAUUAUUUAUCGUCCUGAAUGAAAUGCAUUAUGCAUAUGAAUGCAUAUAAAGAACAAUAACACUAGAUAUUACGAUGCUACGCAAAAGAGAAAUAACCUAUUUAAUGACGAAACAUUACGUACACUAGUUAUCGAUAUAUUGUACUUACGACAAUCAUGUUCUUACAACCUAGCUAAACAGUCGAGGUAGCAAUCAACAUCCAUUCCAAGCAUGAGAUCAACCAACACAUAAAAUAUCAUACCUAAUCUAGAGAACACACUAAACGACUUAUAAUUUUAACUUCAAAAUUCUUGGGCACCUAACACUUAUAAAAUUUUGAUAGAAGAACUUUCAUUAACUUUCUAAACUAAUUUACCGGUUAACCCGUGUAUUAUAUAUAUAUCUACCAAUAUACUUAUCGUACAACCCUAAAAUUCAACUUAAUCUCUACAUCGAGUAAUAAACAAGAGAAUCAUCGCAAUCAAUUCUUCUAUUUAAUCCUAUCAUUUAUUUAGUUGACGGGAAUAAUAAAUCAACUUACCAUAAUUAACUCGAGCUGAAGUUGCGAGGUCAACGACGAUCCUACGGACGAGGACUCGGAUUUGAAGGGCGAUGCGACAAAAUUAUUGGAACGGUGGAGUCUUGGAUGUGGUUGUUGUCGAGAUGAUUGACGACUGGUUCGAGCUUUUUGUCGCGCACUCGGUGAAUAUUACUCGGUUGGCUUCGUCUUCACCCGAUUCUUGGAAUUUCUUGCUGACGCGCAGAACGACGACGACUUUCGAUUGAAGUCUGGAGCGAGCUGGUAAGGUAGGGUUGAGCAGGGGAUGACAUGUUUGACGACUCGACGGCAAACGACGCGACGACGAGCGACGGCGAACGACGAGGUCGACCACGCGGUUGGGAAUUAAAGUCGAGCGAGCCGAGAGGGCGCGCUACGAGCAGGAAAAAGACUCGACGCGGGAGUUUGACGCGCACGGAAACUAUCACCAGCGACAAC
RNAcentral lists this long non-coding RNA (8030 nucleotides) under Zea mays. Its description in RNAcentral is "long non-coding RNA (ZMAY_LNC000837)". The record is from RNAcentral. Lineage: Eukaryota; Viridiplantae; Streptophyta; Magnoliopsida; Poales; Poaceae.